This 514-nucleotide ribosomal RNA is filed under the name uncultured Actinomycetes bacterium. RNAcentral's name for it is "bacterial SSU rRNA". It matches the Rfam family "Bacterial small subunit ribosomal RNA", at positions 79 to 597 of the family's 1533-position model. The record is from RNAcentral. Lineage: Bacteria; Bacillati; Actinomycetota; Actinomycetes.
UUGCUGGGUUGGAUGAGUGGCGAACGGGUGAGUAACACGUGAGUAACCUGCCCCCUUCUUUGGGAUAACGGUCGGAAACGGCUGCUAAUACCGGGUAUUCACUGUCCUUCGCAUGGGGGGUGGUGGAAAGGUUUUUUCUGGUGGGGGAUGGGCUCGCGGCCUAUCAGCUUGUUGGUGGGGUGAUGGCUUACCAAGGCUUUGACGGGUAACCGGCCUGAGAGGGUGACCGGUCACAUUGGGACUGAGAUACGGCCCAGACUCCUACGGGAGGCAGCAGUGGGGAAUAUUGCACAAUGGGCGAAAGCCUGAUGCAGCGACGCCGCGUGAGGGAUGACGGCCUUCGGGUUGUAAACCUCUUUCGCUCAUGGUCAAGCCGCAACAGUGGUUGUGGUGAGGGUAGUGGGUAAAGAAGCACCGGCUAACUACGUGCCAGCAGCCGCGGUAUACGUAGGUGCGGCUUGUCCGGAUUAUUGGGCGUAAAGGGCUUGUACGCGGGUUGUCGCGUCUGCCGUGA